GAUGAACGCUGGCGGCGUGCCUAAUACAUGCAAGUCGAGCAAAUGGAUUAAGAGCUUGCUCUUAUGAAGUUAGCGGCGGACGGGUGAGUAACACGCGGGUAACCUGCCCAUAAGACUGGGAUAACUCCGGGAAACCGGGGCUAAUACCGGAUAACAUUUUGAACCGCAUGGUUCGAAAUCGAAAGGCGGCUUCGGCUGUCACUUAUGGAUGGACCCGGGUCGCAUUAGCUAGUUGGUGAGGUAACGGCUCACCAAGGCAACGAUGCGUAGCCGACCUGAGAGGGUGAUCGGCCACACUGGGACUGAGACACGGCCCAGACUCCUACGGGAGGCAGCAGUAGGGAAUCUUCCGCAAUGGACGAAAGUCUGACGGAGCAACGCCGCGUGAGUGAUGAAGGCUUUCGGGUCGUAAAACUCUGUUGUUAGGGAAGAACAAGUGCUAGUUGAAUAAGCUGGCACCUUGACGGUACCUAACCAGAAAGCCACGGCUAACUACGUGCCAGCAGCCGCAGUAA
Molecule: ribosomal RNA, 515 nt
Filed under: uncultured bacterium
Lineage: Bacteria
Description: partial 16S ribosomal RNA
Rfam family: Bacterial small subunit ribosomal RNA
Source: RNAcentral